GUGUCAGCAGCCGCGGUAAUACAGAGGUUGCAAGCGUUAUCCGGAUUUAUUGGGCGUAAAGCGUUUCGUAGGCGGAUUUGUAAGUUACUCUUUAAAGACAACGGCUCAACCGUUGGAAGGGGGGUAAUACUGCAAGUCUUUGACUACUGGUGGGGUUUCCGGAACUGAUGGUGUAGUAGUGAAAUACGUUGAUAUCAUCAGGAACUCCAAGGGCGAAGGCAGGAAACUAACCAGUGAGUAACGCUGAGGAACGACAGCUAGGGGAGCGAAAGGGAUUAGAAACCCUUGUAGUCC
This 294-nucleotide ribosomal RNA is filed under the name uncultured bacterium. Its description in RNAcentral is "partial 16S ribosomal RNA". It matches the Rfam family "Bacterial small subunit ribosomal RNA", at positions 505 to 796 of the family's 1533-position model. The record is from RNAcentral.